CCUACGGGCGGCAGCAGUGGGGAAUAUUGGACAAUGGGGGGAACCCAGAUCCAGCCAUGCCGCGUGUGUGAAGAAGGCCCUCGGGUUGUAAAGCACUUUCAGUGAGGAAGAACGCCUGGUGGUUAAUACCCAUCAGGAAAGACAUCACUCACAGAAGAAGCACCGGCUAACUCCGUGCCAGCAGCCGCGGUAAUACGGAGGGUGCGAGCGUUAAUCGGAAUUACUGGGCGUAAAGCGCGCGUAGGUGGCUUGAUAAGCCGGUUGUGAAAGCCCCGGGCUCAACCUGGGAACGGCAUCCGGAACUGUCAAGCUAGAGUGCAGGAGAGGAAGGUAGAAUUCCCGGUGUAGCGGUGAAAUGCGUAGAGAUCGGGAGGAAUACCAGUGGCGAAGGCGGCCUUCUGGACUGACACUGACACUGAGGUGCGAAAGCGUGGGUAGCAAACAGGAUUAGAUACCCCUGUAGUC
Molecule: ribosomal RNA, 465 nt
Filed under: Vreelandella stevensii
Lineage: Bacteria; Pseudomonadati; Pseudomonadota; Gammaproteobacteria; Oceanospirillales; Halomonadaceae
Description: partial 16S ribosomal RNA
Rfam family: Bacterial small subunit ribosomal RNA
Source: RNAcentral